CGUACGCAACCUUCCCAGAACAGGUGAAUAGCCCUGCGAAAGUAGGAUUAAUACACCGUAACAUAUAGCUGUGGCAUCACGGUUAUAUAAAAGGCAGCAAUGCCGGUUUUGGAUGGGCGUGCGCCUGAUUAGGUAGUUGGUGCGGGUAACGGCCCACCAAGCCUUCGAUCAGUAACUGGUGUGAGAGCACGACCAGUCACACGGGCACUGAGACACGGGCCCG
This 223-nucleotide ribosomal RNA is filed under the name uncultured bacterium. RNAcentral's name for it is "partial 16S ribosomal RNA". It matches the Rfam family "Bacterial small subunit ribosomal RNA", at positions 116 to 334 of the family's 1533-position model. The record is from RNAcentral.